Long non-coding RNA from Pan troglodytes (chimpanzee), 334 nucleotides. RefSeq lists it as uncharacterized. Lineage: Eukaryota; Metazoa; Chordata; Mammalia; Primates; Hominidae. The transcript is spliced from 3 exons. The record is from RefSeq and is a predicted model, not a curated record.
CCAGUUUCUCACUGUUUGAUGGUAGAUUAUCUUCUUUAUCUUCAACUGAAUGCCAGAUGGACAGGCACAAUCUUCACCCUAGAGAUACAGCUGCUGAGGAUCACGGGGAUGAAAGGUGUGAAUUGGGUUCACACAGCUAGUGCAUUAGGACACCAGAAAAGGAAGAAAAGACAGUGGCAGCUGAAGACAUUUCAGGAAUGCUUCACUGAGAACCUAAGUCUUGUUCUGGGCCAUAAAGAAAAAGAGAGGGUGUGGUUUCUAUACCAGAGAUAAGAAAGGAGAAAAUUGGACGUGGAGGAAAGAUACGAGUACCAAUCCGAGCGAACAAGGAAGA